Molecule: long non-coding RNA, 348 nt
Organism: Candoia aspera
Lineage: Eukaryota; Metazoa; Chordata; Lepidosauria; Squamata; Candoiidae
Exons: 3
Source: RefSeq, a predicted model, not a curated record
GCCAUGGCCAAAGUCUAUCCUCACUGUUGUGUCUUCCUGUUUCCUGGAGAAACCAUCAAUUUCUGCUGUAUGAAGGGAAAAGUCAGGAUUGACAGGUAAACAGAACGGGGUGAAAUAAAAUCUAUAUAUAUUCCUUGUGACAGUCUACAAGAAAGAAUAAAGGACAUUAAUGAGCAAUUCAAAACAAAACAAAGGAAAAUGAAGAAGAAAAGAAACAUUGUGCUGAGUGGUAGGAGAAUGCUCCUGAACAUCAAAUAUUGUCAUGUGGAAAAGUUUCCUUCAGACCUGCGUGUUGGAGAGAGAGCCGUGUGGCUUUUGAGGAAAGAACUGUUAAGAAAACUAACUGGA